This 548-nucleotide ribosomal RNA is filed under the name uncultured bacterium. Its description in RNAcentral is "bacterial SSU rRNA". It matches the Rfam family "Bacterial small subunit ribosomal RNA", at positions 355 to 896 of the family's 1533-position model. The record is from RNAcentral.
CUAAGAAUCUUCCGCAAUGGACGAAAGUCUGACGGAGCGACGCCGUGUGAAUGAAGAAGGCCGAAAGGUUGUAAAAUUCUUUUGCAGAUGAAGAAUAAACAUAGGAGGGAAUGCCUAUGAGAUGACGGUAAUCAUGCGAAUAAGCCCCGGCUAAUUACGUGCCAGCAGCCGCGGUAACACGUAAGGGGCGAGCGUUGUUUGGAAUUAUUGGGCGUAAAGGGUAUGUAGGCGGUUAGGUAAGCCUGGUGUGAAAUCUACGAGCUCAACUCGUAAACUGCAUUGGGUACUGCUUGACUUGAAUCACGGAGGGGAAACCGGAAUUCCAAGUGUAGGGGUGGAAUCUGUAGAUAUUUGGAAGAACACCGGUGGCGAAGGCGGGUUUCUGGCCGAUGAUUGACGCUGAUAUACGAAGGUGCGGGGAGCAAACAGGAUUAGAUACCCUGGUAGUCCGCACAGUAAACGAUGUACACUAGGUGUCGGGGCAAGAGCUUCGGUGCCGUAAGCAAACGCAUUAAGUGUACCGCCUGGGAAGUAUGCCCGCAAGGGUG